AAAGAGAAUCGAUUCCGUCAGUAGUGGCGAGCGAAAGCGGAGGAGCCCAAAUGGGGAGGAAUUGCGCGAUUCGGAGGGGAACGGCCUGGGAGGGCCGGCCACAGAGGGCGACAGCCCCGUACCCCGAGAAGGACGCAUGUCUCCCCGAGAGAGUACGCCGGGUCACGAGAAACCCCGGCGGAAGACGGCGGGACCACCCGCCAAGGCUAAACACAGACCAGUGACCGAUAGCGAACAAGUACCGUGAGGGAAAGGUGAAAAGAACCCCGGGAGGGGGAUGAAAAGAUCCUGAAACCGCAUGCCGGCGACCGGACCGAGGGCGUCGAAGCCUGAGGUCGUGCCUAUUGAAGAAUGAGCCUGCGAGUUGUCGAUGCCAGCGAGGCUAAGCGGAAGACGCGGAGCCGCAGGGAAACCGAGCCCGAACAGGGCGCGAGUUGGCACCGGCAGACCCGAAACCCGGCGAUCUAGCCAUGGCCAGGAUGAAAGAGGGGCGAAACCCUCCGGAGGUCCGAACCGACGUUCGUUGAAAAGACCGCGGAUGAGCCGUGGCUCGUGGUGAAAUUCCAAUCGAGCCGGGUUAUAGCUGGUUCUCCCCGAAAUAGCUCUUGGGCUAGCCUCGGGGCUGUGCGCCGACGGAGGUAGAGCCACCGAUGGGGCGAGGGGCGCGUCGAACGCCUUCGAGCCCCGCCGAACUCCGAAUGCCGCCGGCGAAGCCCCGGGAGUCGGUCUGCGGGAGAUAAGUUCCGUGGACGAGAGGGAAAGAGCCCGGACCGCCGAUUAAGGCCCCAAAGUGCGCGCCGAGUGCUGAGAAGGAGGUGGGGCGGCUCAAACAGCCAGGAUGUUGGCUCAGAGGCAGCCAUCAUUCAAAGAAUGCGUAACAGCUCACUGGUCAAGCCGCCCCGCGCCGACAAUUUACCGGGGCUAAAGCGCGCCGCCGAAAUCGCGGGAUCCGUAGGAUCGGUAGGGGAGCGUCGCCUGUGCGGCGAAGCGGGACCGCGAGGGCCCGUGGAGCGCAGGCGAGCGAGAAUGCAGGCGUUAGUAGCGACGGGGGGUGGGAAUCCCCCCAGCCGGAUGGCCGAGGUCUCCCGGGCGAGGUUCGUCCUCCCGGGGUCAGCCGGGGCCUAAGACGAGACCGAGAGGCGCAGUCGAUGGGAAUGCGGCGAAGAUUCCGCAGCCCGUCCGCGUGGCGAUGACCGUGACGGGGGUGGCAAGGCAGCCCGGGCGAUCGGAAGAGCCCGGCGGCCGGCGCGCAGGGGCGGGGGAGCCAAAGCUCUUCCCCGGAUGCCCCAGGGCCGGACGGGAGGAAAGCGGGAGACCGCGAGUACGAAGGCGCCGGGGACACCCUCCAGGAAAAGCGGCUAGCGUCAGAGCGCGGGCGGCCCGUACCAAGAACGGACACACGUGGCCUGGGCGAGAAGCCCGAGGCUAGCGAGACAACUGUUGCUAAGGAACUCUGCAAGACUGCUUCGCAAGCUAGCGAGAAGAAGCGCCCGGGGGCGAACAGCCCCGCGGGCCGCAGCGAAGAGGCAGGGGUGACUGUUUACCAAAAACACAGCUCUGUGCGAAGCCGCAAGGCGACGUAUACGGGGUGAUGCCUGCCCGGUGCUGGAAGGUUAAGGGGAGGGGUCAGGCCGCAAGGCCGAAGCCCCGAGCCGAAGCCCCAGUGAACGGCGGCCGUAACAAUAACGGUCCUAAGGUAGCGAAAUUCCUUGUCGGGUAAGUUCCGACCUGCACGAAUGGUGUAAUGAUCUGGACACUGUCUCAACCGUGAGCUCAGUGAAAUUGUAGUAUCGGUGAAGAUGCCGAUUACCCGCGAUGGGACGAAAAGACCCCGUGAACCUUUACUAUAGCUUAACAUUGAAUUUGGGUAAUUGAUGUGUAGGAUAGGCCGGAGGCUUUGAAGCAGGUACGCCAGUAUUUGUGGAGCCGCUGUUGAAAUACGGCCCUUUGGUUAUUUGAGUUCUAACUCGUUGAUACGAGGACACUGUUUGGUGGGUAGUUUGACUGGGGUGGUCGCCUCCAAAAGUGUAACGGAGGCUUCUAAAGGUGCCCUCACGCCGAUUGGUAACCGGCGGCAGAGUGUAAUGGCAUAAGGGCGCUUGACUGGGAGACUUACAAGUCGAUCAGGUAGGAAACUAGAGCAUAGUGAUCCGGUGUUUCUGUAUGGAAAGGACAUCGCUCAAAGGAUAAAAGGUACUCCGGGGAUAACAGGCUGAUCCCUCCCAAGAGCUCAUAUCGACGGAGGGGUUUGGCACCUCGAUGUCGGCUCGUCACAUCCUGGGGCUGGAGAAGGUCCCAAG
This 2300-nucleotide ribosomal RNA is filed under the name human gut metagenome. RNAcentral's name for it is "bacterial LSU rRNA". It matches the Rfam family "Bacterial large subunit ribosomal RNA", at positions 216 to 2569 of the family's 2925-position model. The record is from RNAcentral.